Long non-coding RNA from Canis lupus familiaris (dog), 1700 nucleotides. RefSeq lists it as uncharacterized. Lineage: Eukaryota; Metazoa; Chordata; Mammalia; Carnivora; Canidae. The transcript is spliced from 6 exons. The record is from RefSeq and is a predicted model, not a curated record.
GCCAUCCUAGGAUGCAGAGCCUGGGUUUAAUCUGUUCCCAUUGUGGUUCUUCUAAGCUCCCAAUUUCCUGUGCUCCCUGCAAGGGACAGGAGGCAGAAUGAGGCCAAAAUCGUUUUCAAUUCAGUAUGCCUAGGGGAUAGUCAAGCCUGGCUGUGAAUCAGGACUUGGUCAGACCGAGAAUCUCUAUGGAUACUCUGGGAGUUUGGGCAGGACAGAAUAGGUUAACUAUUGGACCUGAGAGAAGACAGGAAAAGUAGGUUACCUUCAGCAGGCAAAGGACCCCAUGACACCUGAAUUUUCAUAUACGAUUGAAUUUAUGUGAAGAGCCUCUAAAAUUCACCACCAAUUACGAUACAGACUAUGAAUUAGGGUGAUAUCUUGUUUCUCCUCUUCAAAGAAAUACUGACGGGCCAAAGUAACUGGAUUGUCACUUCUUGAUGUCACUUCUUGAUGACACUUUCUAUGCAAAUGAGGAUUCUAGGAACCUGCCUUUGUGACUUCAGGUUAUUCAUAGAGUAUGAUCAUUCUUGUUCAGAUCCCAAGUGGCAUUUGAAGAUGUUGAAGCGUAGCUUUGGAUCUUUUGUGUGGCUGAUGAAAGGAGGAUGGGACUAUGGCUAGAUGGACCUCCUCAGAGCCUGAGGAUCACACAGAAGUGAGUGGCCAUGGACACACUUGAAAAGGAAUAACAUCUUUGUUGGAGUUAACCAAAUUCAUCAUUAAUACUCACCUGAUAAGGUAGAAAUAAGACUGAACAUUAAUUUGAUCAUAAAGACAUCCCUGAGUGCUGCAGACCAUCUUUUUCAAGCAGUUUUAGGUGCACCACAAAACUGAGCAGAAAGUACAGCUAUUUCCCGUCUACCUCCUGUCUGGACACAUGCACCACCUCCCUCAAGAUCCAUAUCCUCCCAGAGGAUCUGUUACUUACAACUGAUAAACCUAUAUUGCCACAUCAUUAUUCCUGGGAGUAGUUCCAGACUGGUUCCCUUUAGAGCUCAACAGCGCUACUACAAAGGCAAGCCCUUUCUGAGGACUCUCAUCAUGUUGCUGUGGGAACGCACAAGUUCCAGCCUGGGCUGAUGUGGGGCAAGUUGGGCCUCCCAUGGCAUCUCCUGGAGUCCUUCAGUAUCCACAUAGAGAGGACACUGAAGAGUUAAACUGCAGAGCCUCAAACCGCUGGAAUGUACUUCGCAUUUUCGGCCAGUGGAAGAACAGCGGCCUAUCUGCUCCUCCUUUGGCAGGCAGCUCAACAAGGCGCACCGACCGCUCCUUAUUCUGCAAUAAUACCUCUGCAGGGUAUUUAUAAUUCCCCCAUUUCCUGCAAAGAAAAAAACAGAACGUGCCGGAAAGCUUUAGGAAGGCUUUGCUCCGAGUACAAGGCUUUUGGAAUUCCCCAGAUGUCUGAUGUCUUCCCUUUCUCUUACUCUUCCCCUGAGCCCCAGUACACACUUCUCCUUAGGGUCAGGUAGGGAGUUCAGUUAUAAUCCUCAUUGUACACCUCACAGGGAUGAAGACAUACAUCCAUUUCUUUAAAUUAAGAAAUGAGGAAACACAUGGUAUAAAGAUACUGGUUAGAAUUUGGUAGAUAGGGAUCCCUGGGUGGCGCAGUGGUUUGGCGCCUGCCUUUGGCCCAGGAUGUGAUCCUGGAGACCCAGGAUCGAAUCCCACGUCGGGCUCCCGGUGCAUGGAGCCUGCUUCUCCCU